This 68-nucleotide transfer RNA is filed under the name Uvitellina sp. SSS-2019. RNAcentral's name for it is "tRNA-Cys". The record is from RNAcentral. Lineage: Eukaryota; Metazoa; Platyhelminthes; Trematoda; Plagiorchiida; Cyclocoelidae.
GGGCAUGUCGUUUUUAUGAGACGGAGUAUUUUGCAAAGGUACUUUAGAUUUGUUUUUAUCCGUGUCCU